GGGCGGUUAGCUCAGCGGCAGAGCGCCUGCCUUACACGCAGGAUGUCGGCGGUUCGAUCCCGUCACCGCCCACCA
This 75-nucleotide transfer RNA is filed under the name Pseudomonadota bacterium. Its description in RNAcentral is "tRNA-Val". It matches the Rfam family "tRNA". Rfam says of the family: Transfer RNA (tRNA) molecules are approximately 80 nucleotides in length. Their secondary structure includes four short double-helical elements and three loops (D, anti-codon, and T loops). Lineage: Bacteria; Pseudomonadati; Pseudomonadota. RNAcentral also lists the same sequence under 2 other names. The record is from RNAcentral.